This 448-nucleotide ribosomal RNA is filed under the name uncultured bacterium. RNAcentral describes it as "bacterial SSU rRNA". It matches the Rfam family "Bacterial small subunit ribosomal RNA", at positions 335 to 800 of the family's 1533-position model. The record is from RNAcentral.
ACUCCUACGGGAGGCAGCAGUGGGGAAUAUUGCACAAUGGGGAAGCCAUCGAUGCAGCAACGACCGCGUGAGUGAUGACGGUCUUCGGAUUGUAAAGCUCUGUCUUCAGGGACGAUAAUGACGGUACCUGAGGAGGAAGCCACGGCUAACUACGUGCCAGCAGCCGCGGUAAUACGUAGGUGGCAAGCGUUGUCCGGAUUUACUGGGCGUAAAGGGAGCGUAGGUGGAUAUUUAAGUGGGAUGUGAAAUACUUGGGCUUAACCUGAGUGCUGCAUUCCAAACUGGAUAUCUAGAGUGCAGGAGAGGAAAGUAGAAUUCCUAGUGUAGCGGUGAAAUGCGUAGAGAUUAGGAAGAAUACCAGUGGCGAAGGCGACUUUCUGGACUGUAACUGACACUGAGGCUCGAAAGCGUGGGGAGCAAACAGGAUUAGAACCCUGGUAGGCUCUGC